This 497-nucleotide ribosomal RNA is filed under the name uncultured bacterium. Its description in RNAcentral is "partial 16S ribosomal RNA". It matches the Rfam family "Bacterial small subunit ribosomal RNA", at positions 28 to 507 of the family's 1533-position model. The record is from RNAcentral.
GAUGAACGCUGGCGGCGUGCCUAAUACAUGCAAGUCGAGCGAACAGACGAGGAGCUUGCUCCUCUGACGUUAGCGGCGGACGGGUGAGUAACACGUGGAUAACCUACCUAUAAGACUGGGAUAACUUCGGGAAACCGGAGCUAAUACCGGAUAAUAUAUUGAACCGCAUGGUUCAAUAGUGAAAUACGGUUUUUCUGUCACUUAUAGAUGGAUCCGCGCCGCAUUAGCUAGUUGGUAAGGUAACGGCUUACCAAGGCAACGAUGCGUAGCCGACCUGAGAGGGUGAUCGGCCACACUGGAACUGAGACACGGUCCAGACUCCUACGGGAGGCAGCAGUAGGGAAUCUUCCGCAAUGGGCGAAAGCCUGACGGAGCAACGCCGCGUGAGUGAUGAAGGUCUUCGGAUCGUAAAACUCUGUUAUUAGGGAAGAACAAAUGUGUAAGUAACUAUGCACGUCUUGACGGUACCUAAUAAGAAAGCAACGGCUAACUACGUG